Molecule: ribosomal RNA, 373 nt
Filed under: uncultured organism
Description: bacterial SSU rRNA
Rfam family: Bacterial small subunit ribosomal RNA
Source: RNAcentral
CGGGGGGGGGCAAGCGUUGUUCGGAAUUACUGGGCGUAAAGGGCUCGUAGGUGGCCAACUAAGUCAGACGUGAAAUCCCUCGGCUUAACCGGGGAACUGCGUCUGAUACUGGAUGGCUUGAGUUUGGGAGAGGGACGCGGAAUUCCAGGUGUAGCGGUGAAAUGCGUAGAUAUCUGGAGGAACACCGGUGGCGAAGGCGGCGUCCUGGACCAACACUGACACUGAGGAGCGAAAGCCAGGGGAGCAAACGGGAUUAGAUACCCCGGUAGUCCUGGCCCUAAACGAUGAAUGCUUGGUGUGGCGGGUAUCGAUCCCUGCCGUGCCGAAGCUAACGCAUUAAGCAUUCCGCCUGGGGAGUACGGUCGCAAGGCUG